Molecule: ribosomal RNA, 469 nt
Filed under: uncultured bacterium
Lineage: Bacteria
Description: partial 16S ribosomal RNA
Rfam family: Bacterial small subunit ribosomal RNA
Source: RNAcentral
GACGAACGCUGGCGGCGUGCUUAACACAUGCAAGUCGAACGGAAGGGCCCUGCUUGCAGGGUGCUCGAGUGGCGAACGGGUGAGUAACACGUGGGUGAUCUGCCCCUUACUUUGGGAUAAGCCUGGGAAACUGGGUCUAAUACUGGCUAGGACCAUGCUGUAGGCGGUGUGGUGGAAAGAUUAGUUUCGGUAAGGGAUGAGCUCGCGGCCUAUCAGCUUGUUGGUGGGGUAAUGGCCUACCAAGGCGUCGACGGGUAGCCGGCCUGAGAGGGUGGACGGCCACAUUGGGACUGUGAUACGGCCCAGACUCCUACGGGAGGCAGCAGUGGGGAAUAUUGCACAAUGGGCGCAAGCCUGAUGCAGCGACGCCGCGUGGGGGAUGACGGCCUUCGGGUUGUAAACUCCUUUCAGCCAUGACGAAGCCCUUGUGGUGACGGUAGUGGUAGAAGAAGCACCGGCUAACUACGUG